GUUGACCUCGGAUCAGGUAGGAAUACCCGCUGAACUUAAGCAUAUCAAUAAGCGGAGGAAAAGAAACCAACAGGGAUUCCCCUAGUAACGGCGAGUGAAGCGGGAACAGCUCAAAUUUGAAAUCUGGCCCUCGGGUCCGAGUUGUAAUUUGCAGAGGAUGCUUUUGGUGCGGUGCCUUCCGAGUUCCCUGGAACGGGACGCCUUAGAGGGUGAGAGCCCCGUACGGUUGGCCACCAAGCCUGUGUAAAGCUCCUUCGACGAGUCGAGUAGUUUGGGAAUGCUGCUCAAAAUGGGAGGUAUAUUUCUUCUAAAGCUAAAUACUGGCCAGAGACCGAUAGCGCACAAGUAGAGUGAUCGAAAGAUGAAAAGCACUUUGAAAAGAGGGUUAAAUAGCACGUGAAAUUGUUGAAAGGGAAGGAUUUAUGACCAGACUUUUUCUGGGGGGAUCAUCCGGUGUUCUCACCGGUGCACUUCCCCCAGUGGAGGCCAGCAUCGGUUCCUGUCGGGGGACAAAAGCUUCGGGAAUGUGGCUCCUCCGGGAGUGUUAUAGCCCGUUGCAUAAUACCCUGACGGGGACCGAGGUUCGCGCAUCUGCAAGGAUGCUGGCGUAAUGGUCAUCAAUCACCCGUCUUGAAACACGGACCAAGGAGUCGAACAUUUGUGCGAGUGUUUGGGUGUUAAACCCUCACGCGUAAUGAAAGUGAACGGAGGUGAGAGCCCCUCGGGGUGCAUCAUCGACCGAUCCUGAUGUCUUCGGAUGGAUUUGAGUAAGAGCAUAACUGUUCGGACCCGAAAGAUGGUGAACUAUGCGUGGAUAGGGUGAAGCCAGAGGAAACUCUGGUGGAGGCUCGCAGCGGUUCUGACGUGCAAAUCGAUCGUCAAAUCUGCGCAUGGGGGCGAAAGACUAAUCGAACCAUCUAGUAGCUGGUUACCGC
Molecule: ribosomal RNA, 935 nt
Filed under: Apiospora xenocordella
Lineage: Eukaryota; Fungi; Ascomycota; Sordariomycetes; Amphisphaeriales; Apiosporaceae
Description: eukaryotic LSU rRNA
Rfam family: Eukaryotic large subunit ribosomal RNA
Source: RNAcentral